UCGCUUUUAUUUAACCCAGCUCUCGCCUAUAUAAGGGGUGCCGGAUUCGUCCGGCUAUGGCGAUAAACGGACGCCGCAAUAAACCUAUCGGACCCGGGGGCAGUACCCGGCGCCUCCACCUCAGGGGUCAGGUCAGUGCCCCCUAGCCCGGUGCCGACCGGCGGGGCGCGCAGCUUGAGGUGACCUCUGACCCUUGCGGUGGGGGCGAACUAGGAUCGACGAGGGUGUAAAGGGCGCUCUUUUGCUCGGCAUGAUACCGCCGUUAUCGGGUCAAUCAGAAUAGUUGCCAAUGACAACUAUGCUGAGGCUGCUCUCGCUGCGUAACGCGGCGCGAAAAGCCUGAACUUGAAGCCCUGGCGUCUAGCCACGCCAGGCGCGGUCUCGGAGGGCACCGGGCAACAGAAGCCCUCCACU
RNAcentral lists this transfer-messenger RNA (414 nucleotides) under Hyphomicrobiaceae bacterium. It matches the Rfam family "Alphaproteobacteria transfer-messenger RNA". From Rfam's summary of the family: Bacterial tmRNA, also known as 10Sa RNA or SsrA, is named for its dual tRNA and mRNA-like properties. Its role is to liberate the mRNA from a stalled ribosome. Lineage: Bacteria; Pseudomonadati; Pseudomonadota; Alphaproteobacteria; Hyphomicrobiales; Hyphomicrobiaceae. The record is from RNAcentral.